RNAcentral lists this signal recognition particle RNA (97 nucleotides) under Cryptosporangium aurantiacum. RNAcentral's name for it is "Bacterial small signal recognition particle RNA". It matches the Rfam family "Bacterial small signal recognition particle RNA". Rfam says of the family: The signal recognition particle (SRP) is a universally conserved ribonucleoprotein involved in the co-translational targeting of proteins to membranes. Archaeal SRP consists of a 7S RNA and homologues of the eukaryotic SRP19 and SRP54 proteins. In most bacteria, the SRP consists of a 4.5S RNA and the Ffh protein (a homologue of the eukaryotic SRP54 protein). The record is from Rfam by way of RNAcentral. RNAcentral also lists the same sequence under 1 other name. Lineage: Bacteria; Bacillati; Actinomycetota; Actinomycetes; Cryptosporangiales; Cryptosporangiaceae.
ACCAGCCCCUCGUGCGGCGCGUAACCUGUGAACCUCCCCAGGGCCGGAAGGCAGCAAGGAUAAGCGGGCUCUGGCGGGUGCACGGGGGGUCCUUCUU